RNAcentral lists this ribosomal RNA (395 nucleotides) under Papilio aegeus othello. Its description in RNAcentral is "partial 16S ribosomal RNA". The record is from RNAcentral. Lineage: Eukaryota; Metazoa; Arthropoda; Insecta; Lepidoptera; Papilionidae.
GGGCUGCAGUAUUUUGACUGUACAAAGGUAGCAUAAUCAAUAGUYUYUUAAUUGGUGACUUGUAUGAAAGAUUGGAUGAGAUAUAAACUGUCUYUAAUUGAUUUAUAAAAAUUAAUUUUUUAGUAAAAAAGCUAAAAUAAUUUUAAAAGACGAGAAGACCCUAUAGAGUUUAAUAUUUUAUUUAGUAAUUAUUAAWAUAUGUAAUUUUAAAAAUUAAAAUUAAAUGAAAUAUUUUGUUGGGGUGAUAAAAAAAUUAAAUUAACUUUUUUUGAUUGUAAACAUUAAUUUAUGGUUAAAUGAUCCAUUUAUAGUGAUUAAAAGAAAAAAUUACCUUAGGGAUAACAGCGUAAUUUUUUUUUUUAKUUCAAAWAGGAAAAAAAGUYYGCSMCCYCSWU